AAUAAACAAAACAAACAUAAGAAUCUAAGGAGGGGUUAUUGGUUUAUAGAUUUAUAAGGAAUUGGAAAUCCAAACAAAAUUAUUUGUUAUUCAAUCAUUGAUUUU
Molecule: small RNA, 105 nt
Filed under: Arabidopsis thaliana (thale cress)
Lineage: Eukaryota; Viridiplantae; Streptophyta; Magnoliopsida; Brassicales; Brassicaceae
Description: ATSL196300
Source: RNAcentral